CAGCGAGCAAACGUUUGCUCUCGCUCCACCCAGCAGCCCCCUACUAUUUAAAAGCUCUGGGGCUGGAGAGGCGUAAUGAAACAUGACCUGCUAAGCCGCGUGAUCCAGACAAAGCUUUCAUUGCUCUGACUGAAAUAGCUGACAAUGAAGACCGAUGAAGCUUUGGGAGCUGGAGAAGGUCCUCCUACUAACAGGACAAACCAAAGGAGGCACAGUAUUGUAUUGUAUCCCCCUGACAUGAGUUCAGAGCAGACUGAGAUCGGUCAGAGUGAUAAACCUGGGGGGCCCCUCGGCACCGUGAUGCACUGGAGGACGACUCUGACAACGUGGAUGAUUAUCAACUUUAAUGUGAUGUUCGACCAGGUUCUACAUUGGAUGUCCAAUGUAUUUAAGAAAAUGAGGGGAGAGGAGAUGAGAAGCUGAGUUAGAGAAUGUAUUGAUUUGGAGCCAUACCCUGCAGUAGUGUGAUUCGCUAAGAUGAAAUAAUGAAAAAAGUCAUAGAAAAAACAUGUACAGUAUAUUGCACUGGUUGUGUGGAACCUCCAAACCAGAAGACUGCAGGCACUGACCCUUUUUGCACUAUUUUGACUCUAUACUCGCAUCACAUACACUGCUGCUGCUAUUUAUACAGCCACGUUGUUGUUACUUAUUGUGUAUUUAUUCCUUGUGUUACUAUUUUUCUAUUAUAAUUUUUUAUUCUUUACACUGUUGGGGUGGACCUGUAAGCCUUUCACUGUUAGUCUACACCUGUUGUUUAUGAAGUGACAAAUGAAAUUGGAUUUGAAUGGAAGGAGAUCGAGAGAAGAUUAAGGUUCAGAGAACCGCUAGGGAGACUGGUAAACAAUGUGGGGGGAAAAACAACAAAAGGGAAUGGUGAGGGAAAAUAGUGCGUGAUUGUGACAGAUCGCAUGUGUGUAUAUAGAUUGUGGCAUUAUUGUAUGUAAUAUCUACUACUUUGUUGCUAUGUUUUCCAUUUGCUGCCAAAUAAACACAGUCCACUUAUACUGUA
Molecule: long non-coding RNA, 1009 nt
Organism: Salmo salar (Atlantic salmon)
Lineage: Eukaryota; Metazoa; Chordata; Actinopteri; Salmoniformes; Salmonidae
Source: RefSeq, a predicted model, not a curated record